CCUUGCCAGCCCGCUCCGAAACUUAAAGGAAUUGACGGGGCCCGCACAAGCGGUGGAGCAUGUGGUUUAAUUCGAUGAUACGCGAGGAACCUUACCUGGGCUCAAAUGUAUGUUGACGUAUUCUGAAAGGGAUACUUCUUCGGACAAUAUACAAGGUGCUGCAUGGUUGUCGUCAGCUCGUGCCGUGAGGUGUCGGGUUAAGUCCCAUAACGAGCGCAACCCCUAUCAUUAGUUGCCAUCAGGUCAAGCUGGGGACUCUAAUGAAACUGCCUACGCAAGUAGUGAGGAAGGCGGGGAUGACGUCAAAUCAGCACGGCCCUUACGUCCAGGGCUACACACGUGCUACAAUGGCCGAUACAGAGGGCAGCUACCUGGUGACAGGAUGCAAAUCUCCAAAGUCGGUCUCAGUUCGGAUCGGAGUCUGCAACCCGACUCCGUGAAGUUGGAUUCGCUAGUAAUCGCGCAUCAGCCAUGGCGCGGUGAAUACGUUCCCGGGCCUU
This 500-nucleotide ribosomal RNA is filed under the name uncultured Sphingobacteriales bacterium. RNAcentral's name for it is "bacterial SSU rRNA". It matches the Rfam family "Bacterial small subunit ribosomal RNA", at positions 903 to 1382 of the family's 1533-position model. The record is from RNAcentral. Lineage: Bacteria; Pseudomonadati; Bacteroidota; Sphingobacteriia; Sphingobacteriales.